RNAcentral lists this ribosomal RNA (523 nucleotides) under Staphylococcus aureus. RNAcentral's name for it is "bacterial SSU rRNA". It matches the Rfam family "Bacterial small subunit ribosomal RNA", at positions 38 to 544 of the family's 1533-position model. The record is from RNAcentral. Lineage: Bacteria; Bacillati; Bacillota; Bacilli; Caryophanales; Staphylococcaceae.
CCCGGGUCGGUUAUGCUCUGCUAGUCGAGCGACGGACGAGAAGCUUGCUUCUCUGAUGUUAGCGGCGGACGGGUGAGUAACACGUGGAUAACCUACCUAUAAGACUGGGAUAACUUCGGGAAACCGGAGCUAAUACCGGAUAAUAUUUUGAACCGCAUGGUUCAAAAGUGAAAGACGGUCUUGCUGUCACUUAUAGAUGGAUCCGCGCUGCAUUAGCUAGUUGGUAAGGUAACGGCUUACCAAGGCAACGAUGCAUAGCCGACCUGAGAGGGUGAUCGGCCACACUGGAACUGAGACACGGUCCAGACUCCUACGGGAGGCAGCAGUAGGGAAUCUUCCGCAAUGGGCGAAAGCCUGACGGAGCAACGCCGCGUGAGUGAUGAAGGUCUUCGGAUCGUAAAACUCUGUUAUUAGGGAAGAACAUAUGUGUAAGUAACUGUGCACAUCUUGACGGUACCUAAUCAGAAAGCCACGGCUAACUACGUGCCAGCAGCCGCGGUAAUACGUAGGUGGCAAGCGUUAU